RNAcentral lists this ribosomal RNA (445 nucleotides) under Echinodera casablancaensis. RNAcentral describes it as "eukaryotic LSU rRNA". It matches the Rfam family "Eukaryotic large subunit ribosomal RNA", at positions 1340 to 1625 of the family's 3401-position model. The record is from RNAcentral. Lineage: Eukaryota; Metazoa; Arthropoda; Insecta; Coleoptera; Curculionidae.
GCUUWUACUCGACCGUCAGCGGCACGUGCGAUCGCGCGAACUUUCACGAGCGAGCGCGGUCACGAAGCCCUGACGAGUAGGAGGGUCGCGGCGGUGAGCGCAGAAGGGCUGGCCGCGAGGCCGUCUGGAGCCGCCGUCGGUGCAGAUCUUGGUGGUAGUAGCAAAUACUCCAGCGAGGCCCUGGAGGACUGACGUGGAGAAGGGUUUCGUGUGAACAGCCGUUGCACACGAGUCAGUCGAUCCUAAGCCCUAGGCGAAAGCCGAUGUCGAUGCGGUGUAGUUUUUACGAUAAUAAUCGAUCUUACGGCGACGACGACGACGACGACGACGUCGUCGUCCAUUGACGAAAUAGACGAAAUCGUCGUCGUCGUCGUCGUUCGUAAUAAUAAUAACGCGAGAGCACACACCCGUCGGGCGAAAGGGAAUCCGGUUCCUAUCCGGAACC